This 448-nucleotide ribosomal RNA is filed under the name uncultured bacterium. RNAcentral describes it as "partial 16S ribosomal RNA". It matches the Rfam family "Bacterial small subunit ribosomal RNA", at positions 331 to 793 of the family's 1533-position model. The record is from RNAcentral.
CCAGACUCCUACGGGAGGCAGCAGUGGGGAAUAUUGGGCAAUGGAGGAAACUCUUACCCAGCAAUGCCGCGUGAAUGAAGAAGGUCUUCGGAUUGUAAAGUUCUUUAAUUGGGGACGAAGCAAGUGACGGUACCUGAGGAAUAAGCCACGGCUAACUACGUGCCAGCAGCCGCGGUAAUACGUAGGUGGCAAGCGUUAUCCAGAUUUACUGGGUGUAAAGGGCGUGUAGGCGGGGACGCAAGUCAGAUGUGAAAACCACGGGCUCAACCUGUGGCCUGCAUUUGAAACUGUGUUUCUUGAGUACUGGAGAGGCAGACGGAAUUCCUAGUGUAGCGGUGAAAUGCGUAGAUAUUAGGAGGAACACCAGUGGCGAAGGCGGUCUGCUGGACAGCAACUGACGCUGAGGCGCGAAAGCGUGGGGAGCAAACAGGAUUAGAUACCCUGGUAC